This 773-nucleotide ribosomal RNA is filed under the name uncultured Neocallimastigales. RNAcentral's name for it is "partial large subunit ribosomal RNA". It matches the Rfam family "Eukaryotic large subunit ribosomal RNA", at positions 24 to 649 of the family's 3401-position model. Lineage: Eukaryota; Fungi; Neocallimastigomycota; Neocallimastigomycetes; Neocallimastigales. The record is from RNAcentral.
UACGACUACAUAUCAGGCAUAUCAAUAAGCGGAGGAAAAGAAACUAACAAGGAUUCCCUUAGUACGGCGAGUGAAGCGGGAAGAGCUCAAAUUUGAAAUCUUCAAGGUUCUACCUUGACGAAUUGUAGUUUAAAGAAGUGUUUUCUGUUAGAUGAGUAGCAUAAGUUCCUUGGAAUGGGACAUCAUAGAGGGUGAGAAUCCCGUAUUUGGUUAUUCAUACUAGCUUUGUGAUACACUUUCAAAGAGUCGGAUUGUUUGGGAAUGCAGUCCAAAAUGGGUGGUAAAUUUCAUCUAAAGCUAAAUAUUGGCGAGAGACCGAUAGCGAACAAGUACCGUGAGGGAAAGAUGAAAAGAACUUUGAAAAGAGAGUUAAACAGUACGUGAAAUUGUCAAAAGGGAAGCGUUUGACACCAGUGUUGUUCUUCCAAAAAUCAAUUACGAAUGGCUUGAUUUUGUGUUGUAUUGACCUUAUCAGCUUUCUUCACUUUUUUCGAGUCUUUCUUAAUGCACUUUUCGGUUAACAAGUCAACAUCAAUUUCUUUUGUUGUAAAAGAGUAUUCGGAAGGUGGCUUUCUUUUCGGAGAAAGUGUUUAUAGCCCUAUACUUCUACAAUCGGAGAGAUUGAGGUCUGCAGCGUAGAUCCUUCGGGGUUAGAUACACUUGUGCUAAGUUGUAGCUUUUCAUAGACAACUUGUUGACUAUGUUUAGUCAUGCGGCUUACUCGCUUGUGCUAUUUUACCUACGCUUAGGAUGUUGAGUAGCGACAUACGCAC